This 644-nucleotide long non-coding RNA is filed under the name Eutrema salsugineum. RNAcentral describes it as "long non-coding RNA (ESAL_LNC001045)". The record is from RNAcentral. Lineage: Eukaryota; Viridiplantae; Streptophyta; Magnoliopsida; Brassicales; Brassicaceae.
CAACACUUAGCGGUCAAUAGAAUCUACGAAGUUGUCUUCAUGAUGCUCUAAUCGAAUGAUGCUACAUGAGCACACUUUCAAAGGUUUGAUCUUUGGACAACUUAUAUAACUAAUUUCAAUCAAGAAUAGAGCAAGUCAAUGGCGUCUUAGCAAUUAGAGAAUACAAACUCUUGCAUAACAAUAACAGUUCGCUAUUUCAGUCAUUAUAUUAUCAACCAAUCCUCUGUUUCAACUUCUUUCUAAAGUGAAAUCUACCACAUUCCACAUAUAUGAUACUGAAUUUGCAACAUAUAGACAAAAAUUUCUACCUUUCAACUUCAUUCCAAAGUGACAUUCACCACAUUUACUCGUGAACUUGACUUCUAUUGAAUUCUUGCAUUAGCAAAAGAAAAAAAAAAAGUACCUGAGUGAUGAGCAGGAUAGCCAGCAGGAGGAUAACCACCAGGAGCAGGAGGAUAACCACCAUAACCAGGAGCUGGAGGGUAUCCACCAGGUGCAGGUGGGUAUGCACCCGGAGGAUAACCUGCGGGUGGGUAGGCACCAGGUGGUGGAGGAUAACCUUGUUGUGGCGGGUAUCCAGCAGGUGGAUAAGCUCCAGGACCCGGUGGGUAUCCAGCGGGUGGGUACCCAUGAAACCCUUUGUC